AACGAACGCUGGCGGCAUGCCUAACACAUGCAAGUCGAACGAGACCUUCGGGUCUAGUGGCGCAUGGGUGCGUAACGCGUGGGAACCUGCCCUUAGGUUCGGAAUAACUCCCCGAAAGGGGUGCUAAUACCGGAUAAUGUCUUCGGACCAAAGAUUUAUCGCCUUUGGAUGGGCCCGCGUUGGAUUAGCUAGUUGGUAGGGUAAAAGCCUACCAAGGCGACGAUCCAUAGCUGGUCUGAGAGGAUGAUCAGCCACACUGGGACUGAGACACGGCCCAGACUCCUACGGGAGGCAGCAGUGGGGAAUAUUGGACAAUGGGCGAAAGCCUGAUCCAGCAAUGCCGCGUGAGUGAUGAAGGCCUUAGGGUUGUAAAGCUCUUUUACCCGGGAUGAUAAUGACAGUACCGGGAGAAUAAGCUCCGGCUAACUCCGU
This 432-nucleotide ribosomal RNA is filed under the name uncultured bacterium. RNAcentral's name for it is "partial 16S ribosomal RNA". It matches the Rfam family "Bacterial small subunit ribosomal RNA", at positions 29 to 506 of the family's 1533-position model. The record is from RNAcentral.